RNAcentral lists this ribosomal RNA (476 nucleotides) under uncultured bacterium. RNAcentral's name for it is "bacterial SSU rRNA". It matches the Rfam family "Bacterial small subunit ribosomal RNA", at positions 29 to 506 of the family's 1533-position model. The record is from RNAcentral.
AGCGAACGUUUGCGGCGGGCCUAACACAUGCAAGUCGAACGCACUAGCAAUAGUGAGUGGCGCACGGGUGCGUAACACGUGGGUAAUCAACCCUUCAGCCUGGGAUAACGACUCGAAAGGGUCGCUAAUACCGGAUACGGCGCGAGAGGCUUCGGCUUCUCACGAGAAAGCCACGCAAGGGGCACUGAAGGACGAGCCUGCGGCCCAUCAGCUAGUUGGUGAGGUAAGAGCUCACCAAGGCUAAGACGGGUAGCUGGUCUGAGAGGAUGAUCAGCCACACUGGAACUGAGACACGGUCCAGACUCCUACGGGAGGCAGCAGUGGGGAAUAUUGCGCAAUGGGCGAAAGCCUGACGCAGCCACGCCGCGUGAGCGAUGAAGGCCUGGUCGUAAGACUCUGUGGGAGGAGACGAAGAAAGACCUGUGAAGAGCAGGCCGUUGACGGUAGUCUCCUUAGCAAGCACCGGCUAACUCCGU